GAUGAAGAACGCAGCGAAAUGCGAUAAGUAAUGUGAAUUGCAGAAUUCAGUGAAUCAUCGAAUCUUUGAACGCACAUUGCGCCCAUUAGUAUUCUAGUGGGCAUGCCUGUUCGAGCGUCAUUUCAACCCUUAAGCCCCUGUUGCUUAGCGUUGGGAGCCUACAGCCUGCUGUAGUUCCUCAAAGUUAGUGGCGGAGUCAGUUCACACUCUAGACGUAGUAAAAUCUUUAUCUCGCCUAUAGAUGAGCUGGCGCCUUGCCGUAAAAAACCCCUAAUCUUUUACAAGGUUGACCUCGGAUCAGGUAGGAAUACCCGCUGAACUCAAGCAUAUCAAUAAGCGGAGGA
RNAcentral lists this unclassified non-coding RNA (344 nucleotides) under soil metagenome. RNAcentral describes it as "partial contains 5.8S ribosomal RNA, internal transcribed spacer 2, and large subunit ribosomal RNA". The stretch from base 1 to 120 matches the Rfam family "5.8S ribosomal RNA", at positions 35 to 154 of the family's 154-position model. The record is from RNAcentral.